CCUACGGGUGGCUGCAGUGGGGAAUAUUGGACAAUGGGCGAAAGCCUGAUCCAGCCAUGCCGCGUGUGUGAAGAAGGCCUUCGGGUUGUAAAGCACUUUCAGUGGGGAAGAAAGCCUUGGGGCUAAUACCCUCGAGGAAGGACAUCACCCACAGAAGAAGCACCGGCUAACUCCGUGCCAGCAGCCGCGGUAAUACGGAGGGUGCGAGCGUUAAUCGGAAUUACUGGGCGUAAAGCGCGCGUAGGCGGUCUGAUAAGCCGGUUGUGAAAGCCCCGGGCUCAACCUGGGAACGGCAUCCGGAACUGUCAGGCUAGAGUGCAGGAGAGGAAGGUAGAAUUCCCGGUGUAGCGGUGAAAUGCGUAGAGAUCGGGAGGAAUACCAGUGGCCAAGGCGGCCUUCUGGACUGACACUGACGCUGAGGUGCGAAAGCGUGGGUAGCAAACAGGAUUAGAUACCCUAGUAGUC
RNAcentral lists this ribosomal RNA (465 nucleotides) under Vreelandella stevensii. RNAcentral describes it as "partial 16S ribosomal RNA". It matches the Rfam family "Bacterial small subunit ribosomal RNA", at positions 338 to 795 of the family's 1533-position model. Lineage: Bacteria; Pseudomonadati; Pseudomonadota; Gammaproteobacteria; Oceanospirillales; Halomonadaceae. The record is from RNAcentral.